CUAUUCGACGAGGACGGAUUCUUGGAGGGACUUGGACGGAAACAACGUUGUUCUCGAUCGAGACGUUAGAAUCGACAAGCCCAUCACAAGCUUGCCCCGCAACAAUGGCUACUCUGCGCACUGGAAAGCAGCAUCUUGCGAAGCAGGAGGAGAUUGGGAGCCUAUGAUUCUAACCUUCGACAUGAGGAAGGAAGUGUUUCGGAGCAUCGCGCUUCCGAAUGAGUUUUCUACGAAUUCCCCUCGUCUUCAACAGUUUGAUACGACGAUUGUUGCAAAGGAGGAAUACUCGUUUGAUCUCAUUGCCACACCUCGCAAUGCUAAGGCUAGUGGUGUUGUGGAGAUUUAUGAGUCGUCGAUGUGCGAAGGGAAUGGGAAAUUGAGGUGGAAUUAUGUGGUGCAGCGUGGGACGUUUACGUGGGAUUGUGUGGUGCAGCAUAGGGAAGUGAUACCUCCUAUGCUACCU
RNAcentral lists this long non-coding RNA (463 nucleotides) under Salvia miltiorrhiza (redroot sage). Its description in RNAcentral is "long non-coding RNA (SMIL_LNC002434)". Lineage: Eukaryota; Viridiplantae; Streptophyta; Magnoliopsida; Lamiales; Lamiaceae. The record is from RNAcentral.